AAAUGUCUGACCUAGGUCAUCAAUGGCGAGUCGACGCGGAGUUUACGAACAGAGAGCGGCCGUUCACAUGCUUCAUUGAAUUUGUUCGAGAUGCAAUGUUCAGUAGUAGGUACCAGUCUAUUCAAUGAUCCUGUUUAUCUGAUCUAGCAAGAGAUAAGGUUUGGCAGUGAGGGAUGCAAGCGACGAUUUUUUUGGGAUUAGUGGGGCGGCUUCUUCCUAUUUGUCUGCUCCACCAGUCAGGAAUGCGGAUGGUGGUUUGGUGGGAACAGCUCUCUCAACAAGUAAAGGCCAAGCCACCGCUGGCGGAUUAACAAAUAUAAAUGCAGCUCAACAAGUUGAACAUGGAUUACAAAAUGCAAAUUUUGCCUUGUUCAGCAACCUCCAACAGUUUUGACGCUGAUCACACUUUUUUUGUUUGUCAAAUUUA
Molecule: long non-coding RNA, 427 nt
Organism: Zingiber officinale
Lineage: Eukaryota; Viridiplantae; Streptophyta; Magnoliopsida; Zingiberales; Zingiberaceae
Exons: 2
Source: RefSeq, a predicted model, not a curated record